RNAcentral lists this unclassified non-coding RNA (336 nucleotides) under soil metagenome. RNAcentral describes it as "partial contains 5.8S ribosomal RNA, internal transcribed spacer 2, and large subunit ribosomal RNA". The stretch from base 1 to 120 matches the Rfam family "5.8S ribosomal RNA", at positions 35 to 154 of the family's 154-position model. The record is from RNAcentral.
GAUGAAGAACGUAGCGAAAUGCGAUAAGUAGUGUGAAUUGCAGAAUUCAGUGAAUCAUCGAAUCUUUGAACGCACAUUGCGCCCCUUGGUAUUCCAUGGGGCAUGCCUGUUCGAGCGUCAUUUGUACCUUCAAGCUCUGCUUGGUGUUGGGUGUUUGUCUCGCCUCUGCGUGUAGACUCGCCUCAAAACAAUUGGCAGCCGGCGUAUUGUUUUCGGAGCGCAGUACAUCUCGCGCUUUGCACUCAUAACGACGACGUCCAAAAGUACAUUUUUACACUCUUGACCUCGGAUCAGGUAGGGAUACCGCUGAACUUAAGCAUAUCAAUAAGCGGAGGA